AAAGAAAGAAAAGGAAGGAAGGAAGGAAGGGAAGGAAGGAAGGAAGGAAGGAAGAGAGAGAGAGAAAGAGAGAGAGAGAGAGAGAGAAAGGUAGGAAGGAAGAAAGAAAAGAAAAAAAAAAAGAAGUGUCUGAUAGUUAAUGUUCAAUUGUCCAUGUGGCUGCGAUGAAGCCUCUCCAUUGCUGCAAAUCACCACUAACAUCUGCUACCUCAGCUAUCCCGUUACUCACCUGCCCUCUAAUAUUACAGACCAGCCAGAGAGAUAAUGUAAGUUACUGACCCAGAGAGAGUGUCUGUUGAUCUGGCUGUUUUAACUCGUCUGUGGCAGAACACUGAAAUGACUUUCUUUUAACAAUGCGACGUGUCUGCAACUUGGUGAUUUGGGCACAGUCUCUUAAAUUGUAAAAUGGCAAAGUGUGGCACCCCCAUAAAAAAAUGAUCGGGGGGGUUCCCUGGUGGACAGUGGUUGUCACUCCUGUGCUUGGGUUCCAUCCCUGGCCUGGGAACUUCCACAUGCCAUGGGCGUGGCCCAAAAAAUGACCUGGGCCUCUAAGGAGAUAGCUAAUCCUGACUCAUGGAAUGUAAUUGCUGUUUUCAUCUUCAAGUGCAGAAGAUCAGUGUCUCACUGGCAGCUUUGGUGUGGGACAAAGAGCAGUAAAACUUGAAGUCAAGGUGGUAAACCAUAUUUCUUGGGAAAGCUACCUAGCAUCUAUAAGCUUGUUUCCUCAUCUAUAAAUAGAGGAAAAUAACUCUCCUGUGGAGAUUCUCCAAGAUCUAAAUGGACAAAUGCAUUUGAGGUAAAUCUCUUGGCAAAUGGCAUUGGUGGAGUUCCUGUCGUGGCACAGUGGAAACGAAUCCGACCAGGAACCAUGACGUUGCGGGUUCGAUCCCUGGCCUUGCUCAGUGGGUUAAGGAUCUGGCGUUGCCGUGAGCUGUGGUGUAGGUCACAGAUGCAGCUCAGAUCUGGUGUGGCUGGCUGUGGUGUAGGCUGGUGGCUACAGUUCCGAUUGGACCCCUAGCCUUGGAACCUCCAUGUGCCAUGGGUGAGGCCCU
This 1052-nucleotide long non-coding RNA is filed under the name Sus scrofa (pig). Its description in RNAcentral is "lncRNA (ENSSSCG00000036524.3)". Lineage: Eukaryota; Metazoa; Chordata; Mammalia; Artiodactyla; Suidae. The record is from RNAcentral.